Molecule: ribosomal RNA, 755 nt
Filed under: uncultured fungus
Lineage: Eukaryota; Fungi
Description: eukaryotic LSU rRNA
Rfam family: Eukaryotic large subunit ribosomal RNA
Source: RNAcentral
GAACUUAAGCAUAUCAAUAAGCGGAGGAAAAGAAACCAACAGGGAUUGCCCUAGUAACGGCGAGUGAAGCGGCAACAGCUCAAAUUUGAAAUCUGGCGCAAGCCCGAGUUGUAAUUUGUAGAGGAUGUUUCUGGCGACGUGCCUUCCGAGUUCCCUGGAACGGGACGCCAUAGAGGGUGAGAGCCCCGUACGGUUGGAUGCCUAGCCUCUGUGAAACUCCUUCGACGAGUCGAGUAGUUUGGGAAUGCUGCUCUAAAUGGGAGGUAUACGUCUUCUAAAGCUAAAUACCGGCCAGAGACCGAUAGCGCACAAGUAGAGUGAUCGAAAGAUGAAAAGCACUUUGAAAAGAGGGUUAAAAAGUACGUGAAAUUGUUGAAAGGGAAGCGUUCAUGACCAGACUUGGGCAGGUUGAUCAUCCGUGGUUCUCCGCGGUGCACUCUGCCUGCCCAGGCCAGCAUCAGUUCGCCCCGGGGGAUAAAGGCUUCGGGAAUGUGGCUCCUCCGGGAGUGUUAUAGCCCGCUGCGUAAUACCCUGGGGCGGACUGAGGUUCGCGCACUGCAAGGAUGCUGGCGUAAUGGUCAUCAACGACCCGUCUUGAAACACGGACCAAGGAGUCGUCUUCGUAUGCGAGUGUUCGGGUGUCAAACCCCUACGCGUAAUGAAAGUGAACGUAGGAGAGAGCUUCGGCGCAUCUCCGACCGAUCCUGAUGUUCUCGGAUGGAUUUGAGUAAGAGCAUACGGGGCCGGACCCGAAA